UCUGUGUGUAUGUGUCGCGUGUGGAGGUGUAAGUAUGCAAAUACGCUUGUGUGUGUGUGUACGGGUACGUUGCCUUUUUUCUUCCUUCGUUGAUUCGCUUCUUCCUUCUGUGGUGCGCACACCACCGUUGGCGCGGUGCUUGCGUGCUGUGUGUUGGCCUUAUUUUCAGUUUAACGAUGGUGUCGUUGAUGCUCUUUCCGGCCACCGCUUCGGCCCCGUCUUUUCCUCUCCUCUUCUUGUACCUAUUCGAUGCGAAGACUUUGUGUGUGUGCGUGCGCGUGUGUGUGCGACAUUGAGACUCGCCGUCGUGCUUCCCACGCGCUUCACGUUUUUCAGUGGUGGCCCGUGCAGCUCCAUGUCGUGCUGCACGCAAGGCUUUAUCUAUACAAAACGAUGUUCGAGACACCUGAGAAGGUGGGGGAGGGGGUCAGCAGGAGCUACGCAAGCGACAUGCGCAGACAUGCGAGCCAACAACGAAUGUUCACUAAAAGACGAAGGAGGAGGAGGAGGCGCGACGCAUCAUGCGACGUGCUCACCUAUCAAAAGGGAACCACGGCUGCCGCCUCUCUUGCCACACCCCUGAACCACACGCGCUCAUAUACACAGCGCAUUCCAUUGGCGAUGACAACACGGCACGCGAUGCAACAGCUGAGGGGGGGGGGUCGGCGGCACGAGAGGACAGAGAGAGGGGUAAAAAAAAAAGGAUGAAUCAACGACGGCAGUGACGGAUGACUUCUGAAGAGGGAACGGCUGCUCCUCCCUCUUCCCCUCUUCUCUCACCCCUUUGGUGAUCUGAACCCGCUGUCUCCACACUGAAGCUUCCCGCCCUUUUCUUCCUUCCACCGAUGUGCGUUGUAGUUCCGUCUUCUGUUCUUCUGAACAUCCUCUUAUCAGCUCCAGUGCUCUCUAGUCUCCCAACCCCCUUGACUUUCCCCCGACCCUACCCCCUCCACACAUACACACACACAG
This 969-nucleotide unclassified non-coding RNA is filed under the name Leishmania donovani. RNAcentral's name for it is "gene:unknown". Lineage: Eukaryota; Euglenozoa; Kinetoplastea; Trypanosomatida; Trypanosomatidae. The record is from RNAcentral.